This 798-nucleotide long non-coding RNA is filed under the name Zonotrichia albicollis (white-throated sparrow). RNAcentral describes it as "lncRNA (ENSZALG00000003428.1)". Lineage: Eukaryota; Metazoa; Chordata; Aves; Passeriformes; Passerellidae. The record is from RNAcentral.
CUUGGAAGGUCCUUGAAAAGGAGUAUCUGACAGCAUGGUUUCAUAAGCUUCUCAAUCUGAUCCAAGGUUCCUGGUCUGUGCGCCUCUUCUAUUCCUUCCAGACCACCGUAGACUGCUUUGGCAAUCUUUAAAUGGAAUCUGAACCGUCAGUGCAGAGAGACCUACUCUGAGACCACCUCUGGUUAUGAUCCACAUGUGCUACUGAAGGUGGCUGGAAUGGUGUGACAAAUGACACUGGAGAUGGUGGAAGAACCAGAAAGCUACACUGCUUUUUCAUGGUGUAAACUACUGCUGAAAAUCAUAAAGAAGAAGAAAAAAGCCCUUGAUUUGUUGUUCUGAAUAAAGUGACAUUAAGAGAACAUAUGCUUCCUUUUCACAUAUUACUUAAGAGAUUCUGACACUGUGUCCAAAGCAACUCCAUCUUCAAGGGGGAAAAAAGAAAAUCAUGCCAAAUCUGAUAGUCUUCUGAUGUGUUCCAUUAGUUGUGGAUUUCUACAAGGAUUUUUCAAACAAAAAAUUAAUUAUUAUAAACAGCAAUGGCUUUACUCAAGAUGCCACAAAUAAGGAGAUUCAGAUGGAUCACUUUACCAGCUGUCAAGGCCAAUACUUCUGUACAGUCCCUGCUCUCAACAACAGCCUCAGUGUCCUUGUGGUGGGGUGUCUUGGAAGGACUGUGCACAUCAAGCUUCACACUCCCUCUGCACUUGAGGCUCUCUCUGCUUCGAUCACUUGGAGGUGGACGUGGAAUAAAACCUCAGCUAUCAAGUUCUGACAAAUGUAUUUUAGAAUUCUGGUUUG